Long non-coding RNA from Oncorhynchus keta (chum salmon), 2207 nucleotides. RefSeq lists it as uncharacterized. The transcript has 6 exons. The record is from RefSeq and is a predicted model, not a curated record. NCBI's taxonomy places the organism in Eukaryota, Metazoa, Chordata, Actinopteri, Salmoniformes, Salmonidae.
GAUGGCCUGCUUUCGUAUUUUAGAUAAUGAAUAAUCAACAGCAUCAUGUACUACAUGUUGCGGAAGGGUAUGCGCAUACAGUAUCUGAAGGGUCUCCCGAGGCGCCUAAGGCACUGCAUCUCAGUGCUAAGGCAGCGGCACAACAGACCCUGGUUCAUUUCCAGCAUGUAUCACAACCGGCCGUGAUUGGGAGCCCCAUAGGGCGGCACACAAUUGUCCCAGCGUCAUCCGUUUCGGGUUCGGCCGGGGUAGGCCAUCAUUGUAAAUACGAAUAUGUUCAUAGUUGUCUUGCCUAGUUAAAUAAAAAUCAGAAUAACUGCAGUUGUAUUACCACAAGAUGGCGCUGUCUGUCAUCAGAAUAACAGCGAGGCUAUUGUGAUGGUUUGCAGCUUUUGGGACUUCUAUAUUGGUUUAUUAAGUCAGCCAAGCUCAAACAAUCACAGAUAAAGUAUUGCAUUUCAAAAUAUGGUCUGUCUGGUCGAUCAUCAAAUUUAUAUUUGUCAUUUAGCAGAUGCUCUUAUCCAGAGCGACUACAGGAGCGAUUUGGGUUAAGUGCCUUCCUCAAGGGUACAGAGAUUUUUCACCUAGUCGGCUCGGGGAUUCAAACCAGCGACCUUUCAAUGUGUCUAUCAAGUUUUAGAACAUAUUUUAAUCAUGGGUUUAUCACAAUGCAUCUUUCCUUGAUUCCUUCCAUUCUCUACUUGCCAACUGUUCCAAGGUCCCUUCCCUCAGGAUGCAAAUAAUUAAGAUUAAUUGAAAGAGCCAAUGUGAGUAUAUAUAGAGGUGUGGUGUGUAUAGAGGUGUAUAUAGAGGUGUAUAUAGAGGUGUGGUGUGUAUAGAGGUGUAUAUAGAGGUGUGGUGUGUAUAGAGGUGUAUAUAGAGGUGUAUAUAGAGGUGUGGUGUGUAUAGAGGUGUAUAUAGAGGUGUGGUGUGUAUAGAGGUGUAUAUAGAGGUGUAUAUAGAGGUGUGGUGUGUAUAGAGGUGUAUAUAGAGGUGUAUAUAGAGGUGUGGUGUGUAUAGAGGUGUAUAUAGAGGUGUGUAUAUAGAGGUGUGGUGUAUAUAGAGUUGUGUUGUAUAUAGAGGUGUGGUGUAUAUAGAGGUGUAUAUAGAGGUGUGGUGUGUCUAGAGGUGUAUAUAGAGGUGUGGUGUGUAUAUAGGUGUAUAUAGAGGUGUGGUGUAUAUAGAGGUGUAUAUAGAGGUGUGUAUAGAGGUGUGGUGUGUAGAGGUGUAUAUAGAGGUGUGGUGUGUAUAGAGGUGUAUAUAGAGGUGUGGUGUAUAUAGAGGUGUGGUGUAUAUAGAGGUGUAUAUAGAGGUGUGGUGUAUAUAGAGGUGUGGUGUAUAUAGAGGUGUGGUGUAUAUAGAGGUGUGGUGUGUAUAGAGGUGUAUAUAGAGGUGUGGUGUAUAUAGAGGUGUAUAUAGAGGUGUGGUGUAUAUAGAGGUGUGGUGUGUAUAGAGGUGUAUAUAGAGGUGUGGUGUGUAUAGAGGUGUAUAUAGAGGUGUGGUGUAUAUAGAGGUGUAUAUAGAGGUGUGGUGUAUAUAGAGGUGUGGUGUAUAUAGAGGUGUAUAUAGAGGUGUGGUGUAUAUAGAGGUGUGGUGUGUAUAGAGGUGUAUAUAGAGGUGUGGUGUGUAUAGAGGUGUAUAUAGAGGUGUGGUGUAUAUAGAGGUGUAUAUAGAGGUGUGGUGUAUAUAGAGGUGUGGUGUAUAUAGAGGUUUAUAUAGAGGUGUGGUGUAUAUAGAGGUGUAUAUAGAGGUGUGGUGUGUAUAGAGGUGUAUAUAGAGGUGUGGUGUGUAUAGAGGUGUAUAUAGAGGUGUGGUGUAUAUAGAGGUGUGGUGUGUAUAGAGGUGUGGUGUAUAUAGAGGUGUGGUGUAUAUAGAGGUGUAUAUAGAGGUGUGGUGUGUAUAGAGGUGUAUAUAGAGGUGUGGUGUGUAUAGAGGUGUAUAUAGAGGUGUGGUGUAUAUAUAGGUGUAUAUAGAGGUGUGGUGUAUAUAUAGGUGUAUAUAGAGGUGUGGUGUAUAUAGAGGUGUAUAUAGAGGUGUGGUGUAUAUAUAGGUGUGUAUAGAGGUGUGGUGUAUAUAGAGGUGUGUAUAGAGGUGUGGUGUAUAUAGAGGUGUAUAUAGAGGUGUGGUGUGUAUAUAGGUGUAUAUAGAGGUGUGGUGUGUAUAGGUGUAUAUAGAGGUGUUGUGUGCUGAUCCCUGACUGUUUGAUC